This 305-nucleotide ribosomal RNA is filed under the name uncultured bacterium. Its description in RNAcentral is "bacterial SSU rRNA". It matches the Rfam family "Bacterial small subunit ribosomal RNA", at positions 337 to 639 of the family's 1533-position model. The record is from RNAcentral.
UCCUACGGGGGGCAGCAGUGAGGAAUAUUGGUCAGUGGGCGGAAGCCUGAACCAGCCAAGUCGCGUGAGGGAAUAAGGCCCUACGGGUCGUAAACCUCUUUUGCCGGGGAGCAAGGGCCGGGACGAGUCCCGGUCCGGAGAGUACCCGGAGAAAAAGCAUCGGCUAACUCCGUGCCAGCAGCCGCGGUAAUACGGAGGAUGCGAGCGUUAUCCGGAUUUAUUGGGUUUAAAGGGUGCGUAGGCGGGCUUUUAAGUCAGCGGUAAAAAUUCGGGGCUCAACCCCGUCCGGUCGGUGAAACUGGGGG